CUGGAGGGAGGAGGGUGAAGACAGAAAAACUACCUGUCGGGCAGAGUCUCAUUCCAUCACCCAGGCUGGAGUGCAGCGGCGUGAUCUUGGCAACCUCCACCUCCCAGGCUCAAGAAAUCCUCCCACCUCAGCCUCCCAAUAGCUGGAUCUACAGGCGUACACCACCACAAUCAGCUGUAUUUUUUGUAGAGACUGGGUUUCGCCAUGUUGCCCAGGGUGGUCAUGAACUUGUGAGCUCAAGUGAUCUGCCCGCCUCAGCCUCCCAAAGUGCUGGGAUUACAGGCAUGAGCCACCGCCCCUGGCCUAAUAAAAUUUAUUUUUAAAAAAGGACCUAUGGCGAAUCAUUUUUACAAAUAAAAUCUAUAGUCAAGGUGCAGUAUGGGAACAGCAUUUUACUGAGUAAUCUUGCAAAGAAUAUGUCAUUAACCACUACACUAAUCUUGUUCUUGAUGUACACCAGCAACAAAUACAAAGAAAAAUUUAGUCUCUUACUUUAACAGGUUCCAAGUAUGCCACAUCGUAUUUUUUGCCAAAUAAUUUAUUAGUAAGAGGAGAUGACUCUAGUAAGUUAUAGAAGUUAUAUUGAAUUUUUAAAAAAAAUUUUUCAAAACUAUUCUGUGGGGAUUGAGGACAGAUGAACUACAAAGGAACAUGAUGGAACUUUCUGGGGUGAGCAUAAUGUUCUAUAUGAUGAUAGGGGCUUGGGUUACAUAAGUGAGCAUUUAUGAAAACUGUACACUUUUUGUGCAUUUCAUUGUGUAUAAAGUUUACUUCAAAAAAAACAUUGAACUCCAAUUAAUUACAUGCAUGCUGAACUAUUUAGAGUGAAGUAUACUGAUGCCUGUUGUUUACUUUGAAGUAUUUCAAAACAGUAAAAUGGAUAGAGGAAUGUGUAAUAAAUUGGUACACGAUAAGGAAAAUAUAGUCAAUUAUGUUAAUAGUAAAAUCUAGAUGGUGAGUAAACUGGUGUCCAUUGUAAAAUUCUUUAAAC
RNAcentral lists this long non-coding RNA (991 nucleotides) under Homo sapiens (human). Its description in RNAcentral is "HSALNT0376397". Lineage: Eukaryota; Metazoa; Chordata; Mammalia; Primates; Hominidae. The record is from RNAcentral.